AACGCGAAGAACCUUACCUGGGUUUGACAUCCACUGACUGCCAUAGAGAUAUGGCUUCCCCUUCGGGGGCAGUGAGACAGGUGCUGCAUGGCUGUCGUCAGCUCGUAUCGUGAGAUGUCGGGUUAAGUCCCUUAACGAGCGCAACCCUUGUCCCUAGUUGCCAUCAUUCAGUUGGGCACUCUAGGGAGACCGCCGGUGUUAAACCGGAGGAAGGUGGGGAUGACGUCAAGUCCUCAUGGCCUUUAUAUCCAGGGCUACACACGUGCUACAAUGGCAGAUACAAAGGGUUGCUAACCCGCGAGGGGGAGCUAAUCUCAGAAAGUCUGUCUCAGUUCGGAUUGAAGUCUGCAACUCGACUUCAUGAAGCUGGAAUCGCUAGUAAUCGCGGAUCAGAACGCCGCGGUGAAUACGUUCCCGGGCCUUGUACACACCGUAGUAC
This 439-nucleotide ribosomal RNA is filed under the name uncultured bacterium. Its description in RNAcentral is "bacterial SSU rRNA". It matches the Rfam family "Bacterial small subunit ribosomal RNA", at positions 958 to 1398 of the family's 1533-position model. The record is from RNAcentral.